This 263-nucleotide ribosomal RNA is filed under the name uncultured bacterium. RNAcentral describes it as "partial 16S ribosomal RNA". It matches the Rfam family "Bacterial small subunit ribosomal RNA", at positions 89 to 354 of the family's 1533-position model. The record is from RNAcentral.
UGGCGACCGGCGCACGGGUGAGUAACACGUAUCCAACCUGCCGAUGACUCGGGGAUAGCCUUUCGAAAGAAAGAUUAAUACCCGAUGGCAUAGUUCUUCCGCAUGGUAGAACUAUUAAAGAAUUUCGGUCAUCGAUGGGGAUGCGUUCCAUUAGCUUGUUGGCGGGGUAACGGCCCACCAAGGCAUCGAUGGAUAGGGGUUCUGAGAGGAAGGUCCCCCACAUUGGAACUGAGCACGGUCCAAACUCCUACGGAAGGCAGCAG